RNAcentral lists this long non-coding RNA (2197 nucleotides) under Homo sapiens (human). RNAcentral's name for it is "HSALNT0180685". Lineage: Eukaryota; Metazoa; Chordata; Mammalia; Primates; Hominidae. The record is from RNAcentral.
CGGGCUCCACCCCGACGGACCUAGGUGAGGACAGGUAUUUCCUGCCCAAAUGUUGCAUUUCCCAAGACCACCCUGGCCUGCCACGCCCCCAUCUUGGGCCUAUAAAAACCCGAGGCGCCCUACCCCCAGCAGGUAGACACAAAAAGCGGCUGAGCAUUGUGAGGAACACGUCGGCAGAGGAAGAUACAAGCCACUGGUCAUCGAGGGCACACUGGCAGAAGAGCACGCCAACAGGCACUAGCAGGUCGACAAGCCGGGCCAUAGACUGGUGGAAUGACGCGAAGUUUUCCAGGGGAAAACCAUCUCCCUUCUGGCUCCCCCAUCUGCUAAGAGUUACUUCUACUCAAUAAGACCUUGUACUCAUUCUCUAAGCCCGUGUGUGCUCCAAUUCUCCUGGUACACCAAGGGCUGUGCAGGGUGGAACUCAGGCAAUGAAUGCAGUGCAGUGAAAAGAAUGUGACCUGCAGAGGCAUUCUGACUUGAUUUCAACUUCUGGCUUUGUGACUAACUGGUAGUGUCAGCUUUGAGAAAUGAUUUAAUGCUUCUGACCCUCAGUUUUCCUCAUCUGUAAAAUGGACCUGAUUUUCAGAGUUAUGCACCGGCACCACCCCUGGAGUUCUGUACGUCAGCAUCAGCCUGAAGAUCAAGUCCUCAUCAAACGGUAAAAAGAAAAAUAUUUUGAACCCGCUUAGAAAGGACCCUACCUGGUGCUUCUAACUACUGAAUCUACAGUCUGAACAGUGGAAAGAGGAUGGACUCACCAUACCCAAGUCAAAGAAACGCCACAACCUUCAGAGUCAUGGGCCAUUGUUCCAAGAUCAAGCCGUAUCAAAUUAAAGCUAAAAAUACCUUAACCCUCCUAUACCUUUUUUAUUGUUUCUCCCUCUUUCCCCACUCUAUUGUUAGCCAUCUUGUUAUCAAUGUAACUAGGUCUGACUCGCCCCAAACUAUUGCUUUUGAUGCUUGUCUGGUUACACCUUGUGGGGAUCUAAAAAACCAAAGACAACUAGCCUUUUCAGAUAAGUAUCUUUGCCCUGGCCCUCUAAUUCCAAAGUUUCCCCUAGCCCUCACCAUUGUGAUCACCUACAGCCAAGACGCCAUUUCUUUAUUUCCACAGCCUGACAGCCUUAUAGUGUUUGAGACUAUGUUCUCUAGACCACACAAUACCAAAGUUAGACCUCUGCAGUGAGGGUUUGCAUUAAUCUAAAGCUUUACCUCCAUUUUACCAAAGGAACUACUCCCCCUGAUUGCCAGUCUCAUCAAUGCAACCCCAUCCUCAUUUCCAUUACCAUCUCUACCUCCACUGACCCUAGGCCCACCCUCAGUAGUCUCUAUGGUGUAGGGGCCAAUUAUAAUGAGAGAGAUCCUGUAAGUAUCUUUCAAAUAUACCUCUUUUCCCACCUCCUCUUCCCCCAUCCCCGAUAAUUUCAACUUUGAAUGAAACACCUGUUAUUCCUGUACCUAAUGAUAAAACCAAGGUGUCCCUGGUAAAAGUAAAAGAUCUAAAACAAACCCUAGCAAUUGAGACAGGACAUCAAGAUACAAAUGCCUGACUGGAAUGAAUUAAACAUUCCAUCCACACCCUAGGUAAAAGUGACUGUUAUCCUUGUGCGCACGGUAGACCAGAGGCCCAGAUCAUCCCCUUUCUACUUGGAUGGUCUCCCCGUCAACCGGACAUGAGCUGUAUGGUAGCUCGUUUCUAAAACAGCACUGCCUGGGAUGACUGAUUGUGCCAAGCUGUUUCUCUGCUGUUCCCAGAAGUUCAACACCCUGUUAGCCCCUGAGGUCCAUUCAGCCUCUGCCUUCCAAUGUCAAGUUUACCUCAUAUCUCAUGACAGGGAGAAGACUUGGCAUUCCUCAGAGACUUAAAGGGAUACAAGAGCUUAGGCACUUCCAAGAGCUUACCCAUCAGUCUGCCCUUAGUCAUCCCUGAGCGGAUGUCUGGUGGUAUUGUGACAGACCCCUACUGGACACUCUGCCAAGUAACUGGAGUGGAAUGUGUGCUCUAAUUCAAUUGGCUGUCCCUUUUACCUUGACAUUUCAUCAACCAGAGAAAGUAAAAACAAAAUGCCAUAGGCCAAGAGAGACCCCUUAUAAGUCCUUUGAUCCUCAGGAUUAUAUAGAUGCCAUCGAGGUUCCACGAGGAGUGCCAAAUGAAUUUAAAGCCCAAAACCAAAUAGCUACAGGGUUUAAAUCC